CAGGAGGCCUGCCUCCGGGUACUCCGAGGCACCGUACACCCCUAACCAUACGUACAGCCAGCCUGGGUAUAGGACAGUCAGGAACGACAGUGAUGGGCGUUUAUGGUGUAGUUGCUGCUGCACAGACAUGAAGCUACACAUGGGGUAAUAGUUCCUACUGCUGUAACCUUCAUACAUCAGCUUCUUCGUUGAGGCAAACGUAGAAGCGGACCAUGCAAGCUGCAAUGGAUAUUACGGCAAAGUAUUGCCAUAAAGAAAUGGAGGCGUACGGUUCUUGUGUGGCCUCCAAUCCAUCGACAUGGCAAGAAAAGUGUUAUGAGCUCAAGAUGAAGGUUGCACAGUGCACAUCAUCACACCCAGUGAUACAGAAAAUCAGACAGGACUGUUCCAAACAAUUUGUGGAAUUUGAGCGCUGUCUUAGAGAGAACCAGGACCAACCUACCUCCUGCUCACCACAUGUGGCUCGCUUUCUGGGCUGUGCAGAGACAGUGGACCUCAGUGGAGUGGAUACCAAUCCGUUACCUCAGCCAUCGUAGCGUUUAGACAUCUUCCAUCAUCUGCGAGUUACUCCUGUAGCCCCAGCAGCACGGAUGGGUGGGUUUUUAAAUGAGCCCCUGCCUUCUUAUGUACAAUUACUGUUUGAUUACUGCUGUGUAACUUAAUGUGACCAUUUGUCUUUCUUCAACAAAGAUGUAGGAGAUUAAUGCAACAGCACUGUGAGUUAGGCUGGUAGUGAGCUAGGAAUAUUUAAUAACUGCUCAUAACAGUUUUAUUGCCUGUAUUCAAGGAUCUCUUUUUUUUACUGAUGAUUAUUGAACAGUCUUAUUAAAAUUGGCAUCAGGCUUGUACUACUUAUCCA
Labrus bergylta (ballan wrasse) is the source of this 859-nucleotide non-coding RNA. NCBI's taxonomy places the organism in Eukaryota, Metazoa, Chordata, Actinopteri, Labriformes, Labridae. The record is from RefSeq and is a predicted model, not a curated record.